RNAcentral lists this long non-coding RNA (349 nucleotides) under Gossypium barbadense (sea-island cotton). RNAcentral's name for it is "long non-coding RNA (GBAR_LNC016008)". The record is from RNAcentral. Lineage: Eukaryota; Viridiplantae; Streptophyta; Magnoliopsida; Malvales; Malvaceae.
UUAAGCAUUGCUCCUGAAAGAUCCAAGAGCCUUGAUGGCUGCGGCUCUGAGAAUGUAUUGGUGGUAGAAUGCAGCUGCGGCAGCUCCAAUGAAAGGUCCGACCCAGAAGAUCCACUGUAUAACAACACCACAUGAAAUAUAUAUACAUUAUGAGCAACAAUUUAUAACAUCAAAUGGAAAAUUGUAUAUUUAUAUAGGAUGGGAAAUUAUUAUUUACUUGGUCAUCCCAGGCCUUCUCUUUGUUGUAAAUGACAGCAGCUCCAAAACUCCUAGCAGGGUUGAUACCAGUGCCAGUGACUGGAAUUGUGGCAAGGUGAACCAUGAACACAGCGAAUCCAAUGGGGAGUGG